UGUUAAAUUUUUCAUCUAUUUGUAAUGUUAAAAAUUGGCGUGACUAAUGGAAUAACCAAAUCAUGACAUGUGACAUGCCACUAUACCUCAAACUGAUGUAUAUGAAUCAAUUUUUAAUAAUAGAAAAGGAUUAAAAUUUUAAUA
This 144-nucleotide microRNA precursor is filed under the name Gossypium arboreum. RNAcentral's name for it is "MIR7502 microRNA precursor family". It matches the Rfam family "MIR7502 microRNA precursor family". The record is from Rfam by way of RNAcentral. Lineage: Eukaryota; Viridiplantae; Streptophyta; Magnoliopsida; Malvales; Malvaceae.